GACGAACGCUGGCGGCGUGCCUAAUACAUGCAAGUCGAACGCUUCUUUCCUCCCGAGUGCUUGCACUCAAUUGGAAAGAGGAGUGGCGGACGGGUGAGUAACACGUGGGUAACCUACCCAUCAGAGGGGGAUAACACUUGGAAACAGGUGCUAAUACCGCAUAACAGUUUAUGCCGCAUGGCAUAAGAGUGAAAGGCGCUUUCGGGUGUCGCUGAUGGAUGGACCCGCGGUGCAUUAGCUAGUUGGUGAGGUAACGGCUCACCAAGGCCACGAUGCAUAGCCGACCUGAGAGGGUGCUCGGCCACACUGGGACUGAGACACGGCCCAGACUCCUACGGGAGGCAGCAGUAGGGAAUCUUCGGCAAUGGACGAAAGUCUGACCGAGCAACGCCGCGUGAGUGAAGAAGGUUUUCGGAUCGUAAAACUCUGUUGUUAGAGAAGAACAAGGACGUUAGUAACUGAACGUCCCCUGACGGUAUCUAACCAGAAAGCCACGGCUAACUACGUGC
This 509-nucleotide ribosomal RNA is filed under the name uncultured bacterium. RNAcentral describes it as "partial 16S ribosomal RNA". It matches the Rfam family "Bacterial small subunit ribosomal RNA", at positions 28 to 508 of the family's 1533-position model. The record is from RNAcentral.